UUCGUAGGCGGGCUAUUAAGUCAGAGGUGAAAGCAAACGGCUCAACCGUUGAAAUUGCCUCUGAUACUGAUAGUCUUGAGUCCGUUAGGGAUGGUGGAAUUCCUGGUGUAGCGGUGAAAUGCGUAAAUAUCAGGAGGAACACCGGUGGCGAAGGCGGCCAUCUGGACGGUACUGACGCUGAGGAACGAAAGCAUGGGUAUCAACG
RNAcentral lists this ribosomal RNA (205 nucleotides) under uncultured bacterium. RNAcentral's name for it is "partial 16S ribosomal RNA". It matches the Rfam family "Bacterial small subunit ribosomal RNA", at positions 568 to 773 of the family's 1533-position model. The record is from RNAcentral.